Paramuricea clavata is the source of this 947-nucleotide non-coding RNA. Lineage: Eukaryota; Metazoa; Cnidaria; Anthozoa; Malacalcyonacea; Plexauridae. The record is from the annotation of a GenBank genome assembly.
GUGGUUGCAUAUCUAAAACAAUACUCCGUACGCAAAUUUGGAUAGAAUUUUUAGCAAUCAAUUUAACUUAUACCUUAGUUCCUCGCACAGAAACCACUGAGUAUUUACGUCAAUGUUGGCGUAGAAUUGAACAAUACACGCAAGAAUGUGAAAAAUAUCACUUUUAGUUAUUCAAAUCGGAGAUAAAUAGUUGAAUGACAAAUUGGGUAUGUAAUUCUACUUUAAUUAGUAUGUUGCAAUAAACUCCUACUCAUUUGCCCUAUUACAUUUUUCUUAACUAAAACUAAUUGGCUAGCUCAUUUAUAUACUUGUAUUGGUCCCGCUAGUGCUGAAUAUCAAUCUGAUUUGUUUAGAAAUGAUGCGAUUAAAACUUAAAAAGAGAAGAUUGACGCUCAAUAUGGUGCGAUUCAUUCAAUGAAUAUAACGGGAGUGGUACCUGUAGAUAAACCGCAUAUGUUUUUUUUUUAAAUCAAAUCUGACCCCCAGACGCGCAUAUCUGGGGGUCAAGACUCCCUAGUCUAUAGCAUGAUUGUGAUUCAGCGCUCUUUGCAUGAGUGAAAAGACUGGGACUGGCCUUCAAGUUUGGUUUCAAAAGUUUCAAUUUCCUGUUGGAGGUAGCGUUCCAAUCGUAUUCAUUUGAAUGUGUGCGAUUUUUCAUGGGUGUAACAUGGGUGCAGAAAUUAUACGUGGUUUUAUACUGGUAAUUAUAAACCAAUCAGAUUGAUUUGUAAAAGUGUGAAAACGGAUGUUAUUAAAUACUCAUGGCAUUUCUAAUAAUCUACGCCAAACGAAAAUUUUAAAUUAAUUCCAGAAAUUAAUGUGCAUGCUUUCCUUCAAGCAGAUUUCUCGCCAUCCACCAUGGUGGCAUCACCGGGUUUGAUCGCUGUUCGUAAUCCUUCGUCCUCCACUUGUGUCACAUUGAUAUACGAUUUCUAAAUUUAAUCAAA